UACGUAGGGGACGAGCGUUGUCCGGAAUUACUGGGCGUAAAGGGCGCGCAGGCUGUGCUGCAAGUCAGCUGUGAAAUAUCUGGGCUUAACCUGGAUAUGCGGUUGAGACUGCAGUGCUGGAGUGCUGUAGAGGCAAGUGGAAUUCCCAGUGUAGCGGUGAAAUGCGUAGAUAUUGGGAAGAACACCGGUGGCGAAGGCGACUUGCUGGGCAGCAACUGACGCUGAGGCGCGAAAGCCAGGGGAGCAAACG
Molecule: ribosomal RNA, 250 nt
Filed under: uncultured bacterium
Lineage: Bacteria
Also listed under: 1 other name
Description: partial 16S ribosomal RNA
Rfam family: Bacterial small subunit ribosomal RNA
Source: RNAcentral